RNAcentral lists this ribosomal RNA (497 nucleotides) under uncultured bacterium. Its description in RNAcentral is "partial 16S ribosomal RNA". It matches the Rfam family "Bacterial small subunit ribosomal RNA", at positions 28 to 507 of the family's 1533-position model. The record is from RNAcentral.
GAUGAACGCUGGCGGCGUGCCUAAUACAUGCAAGUCGAGCGAACAGACGAGGAGCUUGCUCCUCUGACGUUAGCGGCGGACGGGUGAGUAACACGUGGAUAACCUACCUAUAAGACUGGGAUAACUUCGGGAAACCGGAGCUAAUACCGGAUAAUAUAUUGAACCGCAUGGUUCAUUAGUAAAAGACGGUUUUGCGGUCACUUAUAGCUGGAUCCGCGCCGCAUUAGCUAGUUGGUAAGGUAACGGCUUACCAAGGCAACGAUGCGUAGCCGACCUGAGAGGGUGAUCGGCCACACUGGAACUGAGACGCGGUCCAGACUCCUACGGGAGGCAGCAGUAGGGAAUCUUCCGCAAUGGGCGAAAGCCUGACGGAGCAACGGCGCGUGAGUGAUGAAGGUCUUCGGAUCGUAAAACUCUGUUAUUAGGGAAGAACAAAUGUGUAAGUAACUAUGCACGUCGUGACGGUACCUAAUCAGAAAGCCACGGCUAACUACGUG